This 22-nucleotide microRNA is filed under the name Fasciola hepatica (liver fluke). RNAcentral's name for it is "fhe-miR-1". Its record names the gene fhe-miR-1. Lineage: Eukaryota; Metazoa; Platyhelminthes; Trematoda; Plagiorchiida; Fasciolidae. The record is from miRBase by way of RNAcentral.
AUGGAAUGUGGCGAAGUAUGGU